Long non-coding RNA from Raphanus sativus (radish), 413 nucleotides. RefSeq lists it as uncharacterized. The transcript is spliced from 2 exons. NCBI's taxonomy places the organism in Eukaryota, Viridiplantae, Streptophyta, Magnoliopsida, Brassicales, Brassicaceae. The record is from RefSeq and is a predicted model, not a curated record.
AUUUAUUUAUUAAAUGAUUCAAGCUCGAGACCACGACAUGUAUUAUAAUGAAUGUGUACUAGUUAGUCACUAUAUAUUAUCUUGAAUGGAUGAUCAUUAACUACUUCAAAAAUUAUGGACGCGUUCAGCUCGGAAGAUUAUCUUUUUCAUUUGCCAAUUUUCGAGAGGAGGGAAAGGUAAUAAGACUAAUAGAUUUGGGGCAUCAGAUUCUUCUCUUCUUACCACAAAAGAAUCAAAAGGCUCGCAUGCCCAUAAAGAUAAGGUAAAGCUAGUUUGAGGAUAUAGAAAGAAAUUAUUUCAAUGUAAUCUGUUUGUUUCUGUCGGUAUACUCUAUCAGCUAAUUAUUUCAAAUGUAAUCUGUUUGUAUCUGUCGGUAUACUAUAUCAAAUGUAAUCUGUUUGUAUCUGUCGGUA